This 74-nucleotide transfer RNA is filed under the name Patiria miniata (bat star). Its description in RNAcentral is "tRNA-Asn". It matches the Rfam family "tRNA". From Rfam's summary of the family: Transfer RNA (tRNA) molecules are approximately 80 nucleotides in length. Their secondary structure includes four short double-helical elements and three loops (D, anti-codon, and T loops). Further hydrogen bonds mediate the characteristic L-shaped molecular structure. tRNAs have two regions of fundamental functional importance: the anti-codon, which is responsible for specific mRNA codon recognition, and the 3' end, to which the tRNAs corresponding amino acid is attached (by aminoacyl-tRNA synthetases). tRNAs cope with the degeneracy of the genetic code in two manners: having more than one tRNA (with a specific anti-codon) for a particular amino acid; and 'wobble' base-pairing, i.e. permitting non-standard base-pairing at the 3rd anti-codon position. The record is from Rfam by way of RNAcentral. Lineage: Eukaryota; Metazoa; Echinodermata; Asteroidea; Valvatida; Asterinidae.
GGCUGGAUAGCUCAGUUGGUAGAGCACCGGAACGGUUAAUCCGGAGGUCGCAGGUUCAAGUCCCACUCCAGUCA